CGUCCUACGGGGGGCAGCAGUAGGGAAUUUUCGUCAAUGGGCGCAAGCCUGAACGAGCAAUGCCGCGUGAACGAGGAAGGUCUUCGGAUCGUAAAGUUCUGUUGAAGGGGAAAAAGAGCGGAGAGAGGAAAUGGUCUCCGAUUGAUAUUACCCUUCGAGGAAGUCACGGCUAACUACGUGCCAGCAGCCGCGGUAAUACGUAGGUGGCGAGCGUUAUCCGGAAUGAUUGGGCGUAAAGGGUGCGUAGGCGGCUUGGCAAGUCUGAUGUGAAAGGCUGGGGCUCAACCCCAGGACUGCAUUGGAAA
This 305-nucleotide ribosomal RNA is filed under the name uncultured bacterium. Its description in RNAcentral is "bacterial SSU rRNA". It matches the Rfam family "Bacterial small subunit ribosomal RNA", at positions 335 to 632 of the family's 1533-position model. The record is from RNAcentral.